GUUUUUCCUCUUCAUCUUUAUAGCGAAAAUACGUAUACAUACACAUAAUACAUAGGGUAUUUCUGUUAAUUGAAAGAAUCGAGGUGAUUCGAGGGAGAUCUGAGGAUUUCCCUGGAUCUAUUCAGCGGAUUUUGACUGGAUAGAUUGAUGAAUAAUGGCCAUUCAGAUGGAUAGCAGUUUAGAUCAUUCGUCACGGGAACGCGUUCAGCGGCUUUUCAACAAGAAUGUGGAGCUGGAUAACAAGCGUAGGAAAGCAGCACAAGCUAGAGUAUGUUCUGACCCCAACGCAUGGCAACAAAUGCGUGAAAACUAUGAAGC
RNAcentral lists this unclassified non-coding RNA (318 nucleotides) under Hevea brasiliensis (rubber tree). The record is from RNAcentral. Lineage: Eukaryota; Viridiplantae; Streptophyta; Magnoliopsida; Malpighiales; Euphorbiaceae.